This 281-nucleotide signal recognition particle RNA is filed under the name Nomascus leucogenys (northern white-cheeked gibbon). RNAcentral describes it as "Metazoan signal recognition particle RNA (ENSNLEG00000025142.2)". It matches the Rfam family "Metazoan signal recognition particle RNA". Rfam says of the family: The signal recognition particle (SRP) is a universally conserved ribonucleoprotein. It is involved in the co-translational targeting of proteins to membranes. The eukaryotic SRP consists of a 300-nucleotide 7S RNA and six proteins: SRPs 72, 68, 54, 19, 14, and 9. Lineage: Eukaryota; Metazoa; Chordata; Mammalia; Primates; Hylobatidae. The record is from Rfam by way of RNAcentral.
NNNNUAGUCCCAGCUACUUGGGAGGCUGAGUCAGGAGGAUUGCUUGAGCCCAGGAGUUCUGGGCUAUUGUGAACUAUGUGAUCGGGCGUCUGCACUAAGUUUGGCAUCAAUAUGGUGACAUUUUGGGAGCAGGGGGCCACCGGGUUGCCUAAGGUGUCUGAGGAGGGGUUUCCAGGUUGGAAACAGAGCACCUCGACACUCCUGAGCUGAUCAGUAGUGUGACUGCUCCUGUGAGUAGCUGCAGCACUCCAGCUUGGGCAGCAUAGCAAGACCCCACUUCU